AUGCUUGAAUUUUCAUGGAUCCAUAUAUCAUUUUGGCCAGGAUGCAUGUUCUGUUGCACAGCCAAUGUAUUUAGCUGGCUAGAAUAG
This 87-nucleotide ribosomal RNA is filed under the name Triticum aestivum (bread wheat). RNAcentral describes it as "partial small subunit ribosomal RNA". The record is from RNAcentral. Lineage: Eukaryota; Viridiplantae; Streptophyta; Magnoliopsida; Poales; Poaceae.